AUGGCCGGUUGGGGAUGGUCAGUUCCAUCACACUGCGAGGAGAUGAUUCAUGGCCAGUCGGGGAGGGUCACCUGCGGUGAGCACGAGUACCUCCUCCAUAUCCUCCCUAUACUAGCACCCUUGGCGAUGAAAAUGACAGCCAGGAGAAUCCCUCCUUCACACCUCUUUUCCAUCUCUGUCAGAUUGUCCUCUCCAGCAAGCCCGAAGGCCAACCUUAAUACUGGACCUCGAAAGGGGCAUGUGGCCAACCAUGCCGGAGGACGCAGAGGAGUUGUUUGGGAAUGUUAUCAUCAGAGGACCCAAGAAGCAACCCACCACAGAUGCAUGGACCAACCACGCAAGUCCAUUCUUGCAAUCCAUCUGUGGCGAGGGUUCAUGACAGACAAGCCAAUAGAUUUAGGGGUCCACACCGUGGGAAGGUUAUGUUCAUCAAGGAGCAUGUGA
This 444-nucleotide ribosomal RNA is filed under the name Triticum aestivum (bread wheat). Its description in RNAcentral is "partial small subunit ribosomal RNA". The record is from RNAcentral. Lineage: Eukaryota; Viridiplantae; Streptophyta; Magnoliopsida; Poales; Poaceae.